UUCUAACAUUGUGCCUCCAGCAACGUGGCCUGGACUGGAGCCACGCAGCAGUCUGACAACCUGUUAGGCGAGUCUCCUAUCAAUUAGGCUGCAGCUGUCAUUGCAUCUAUUCUCAGCCUCCUUGAUGAAAGGCUCGCACGGAGAACCGUACGCUGUGCAUUAGGAGCAGCAGAGAUCCUCUGGGAUCUGAACAGAGAAGGACUGUUUGAGAUGUGCACUCUAUGCUUGUCAAAGAGAAGCAGAGUGGAAACAGUUUCUCAGUGGAGAGUUUGGGACAGAUUAUAAUUUCAGAUGUGUGUCAGGCCAAUGCAAUAUGCCAGUGAAAAUGUCUUCAAGCAGGCAGCAAUGGCUGGACCAGAGUCAGGCCCUCACACCAGCUGAACUUUAGCAGGGUUGAAUAAAAAGGUGAGAAUCUCUACUUCUCUAAGCA
This 430-nucleotide long non-coding RNA is filed under the name Junco hyemalis (dark-eyed junco). RNAcentral's name for it is "lncRNA (ENSJHYG00000009298.1)". Lineage: Eukaryota; Metazoa; Chordata; Aves; Passeriformes; Passerellidae. The record is from RNAcentral.